GACGAACGCUGGCGGCAUGCUUAACACAUGCAAGUCGAACGAAACGGCCCUGCUUUUGUGCGCUGCUCGACUUGCGACCGGGUAAGUUACCCGUGAGUACCCUGUACUUGACUUUGGGGUAUCUUCAGAACGCUGAGUCUAAUCCCACCAAGGAGUUCUUGCUGCAGGGUGGGGGCUCGAAAGUUUCGGCGGUUGGGAGUGGACUGGCGGCCUAUCGGCUUGAUGGGUGGGUAGUGUAUUACCAUGGCCUUGACGGGUAGCAGGCCUGCGAGGGGCACCGGCCACAUUAGGACUGGGAUGCGGCCCAGACUCCUACGGGAGGCAGCAGUGGGGAAUAUUGCACAAUGGGCGGAAGCCUGAUGCAGCAACGCCGCGUGCGGGAUGACGGCCUUCGGGUUGUAAACCGCUGUCGCCUGAGACGAGGCGUGAGUGACGGUAAUGGGUAAAGAAGCACCGGCUAACUACGUG
Molecule: ribosomal RNA, 468 nt
Filed under: uncultured bacterium
Lineage: Bacteria
Description: partial 16S ribosomal RNA
Rfam family: Bacterial small subunit ribosomal RNA
Source: RNAcentral